RNAcentral lists this ribosomal RNA (253 nucleotides) under uncultured bacterium. RNAcentral describes it as "partial 16S ribosomal RNA". It matches the Rfam family "Bacterial small subunit ribosomal RNA", at positions 524 to 776 of the family's 1533-position model. The record is from RNAcentral.
UACGGAGGGUGCAAGCGUUGUUCGGAAUUACUGGGCGUAAAGGGCGUGUAGGCGGCUUGGCAAGUCAGAUGUGAAAGCCCUGGGCUUAACCCAGGAAGUGCAUUUGAAACUGCCAGGCUAGAGUAUGGGAGAGGAGAGUGGAAUUCCCAGUGUAGAGGUGAAAUUCGUAGAUAUUGGGAGGAACAACGGUGGCGAAGGCGACUCUCUGGACCAAUACUGACGCUGAGACGCGAAAGCGUGGGGAGCAAACAGG